This 253-nucleotide ribosomal RNA is filed under the name uncultured prokaryote. RNAcentral's name for it is "partial 16S ribosomal RNA". It matches the Rfam family "Bacterial small subunit ribosomal RNA", at positions 524 to 776 of the family's 1533-position model. The record is from RNAcentral.
UACGGAGGGUGCAAGCGUUAUCCGGAUUCACUGGGUUUAAAGGGUGCGUAGGCGGACUUGUAAGUCCGUGGUGAAAUCUCCAGGCUUAACCUGGAAACUGCCAUGGAUACUAUAAGUCUUGAAUGUUGUGGAGGUUAGCGGAAUAUGUCAUGUAGCGGUGAAAUGCAUAGAUAUGACAUAGAACACCAAUUGCGAAGGCAGCUCACUACGCAAUCAUUGACUCUGAGGCACGAAAGCGUGGGGAUCAAACAGG